This 315-nucleotide long non-coding RNA is filed under the name Solanum tuberosum (potato). Its description in RNAcentral is "long non-coding RNA (STUB_LNC003166)". Lineage: Eukaryota; Viridiplantae; Streptophyta; Magnoliopsida; Solanales; Solanaceae. The record is from RNAcentral.
UUCAAGUUCGAGGCGUUUUAGGGCUUCUUGGUGGGCCCAAGUUUCAAGGGUGAGAUCGGGCUUGGCAUUGAGUCCCACACCGAGGAUGACGAUGGUGAAGAAGCUGGUGAUGUAGCAAGGGAGUUCCCAAUCCUCCCAUUUUCGGGACUGUCCAGGCGGUGGUGGAACACGGUUGAAUAAGUAUCCGUUAGGUCGAUCCUGGUGGCCCGCAGUGGUGAAUGGAUUUGGCCCGUGUCCUCCUCUGGUGCGGAGGCCCGAACUAACACGGGCUCGUAGCGCGCCGGCGGCGGUCGCUAAGGGUUUCACGGACGGCAU